This 293-nucleotide ribosomal RNA is filed under the name uncultured bacterium. Its description in RNAcentral is "partial 16S ribosomal RNA". It matches the Rfam family "Bacterial small subunit ribosomal RNA", at positions 775 to 1067 of the family's 1533-position model. The record is from RNAcentral.
GGAUUAGAUACCCUGGUAGUCCACGCCGUAAACGAUGUCUACUAGCCGUUGGGACUCUUGAAGUCUUAGUGGCGCAGCUAACGCACUAAGUAGACCGCCUGGGGAGUACGGCCGCAAGGUUAAAACUCAAAUGAAUUGACGGGGGCCCGCACAAGCGGUGGAGCAUGUGGUUUAAUUCGACGCAACGCGAAGAACCUUACCUGGCCUUGACAUCCUGCGAACUUUCUAGAGAUAGAUUGGUGCCUUCGGGAACGCAGUGACAGGUGCUGCAUGGCCGUCGUCAGCUCGUGCCG